UGACAAGCUGAUCCCUAGCCUGGUGAAGUAUUACUACUCCUGGAAGAAGACAAGGAGCCGCACGAGUGUCAUGGACCGACAGGCCCGCCGGCUGCUCAGCAAGAAGGAGAGGGAUGACAGUAACGACGAGAUGGAGGAGGGACGGGCAGCCAGCGAGGGGGAGUUUGAUGCCAUGGACCCCAAGAAGGAGCCGAGCUACCAGAAGCUGCCGAACAGCCGGCCGGGCCCAGGAUCGGGCUCAGGGCCUGUGAGGAAGGAGGCGCAGCUGUCGCAGUAUCGGCACCACCCACUGCG
This is a long non-coding RNA of Terrapene triunguis (Three-toed box turtle), 294 nucleotides long. RefSeq lists it as uncharacterized. The record is from RefSeq and is a predicted model, not a curated record. The transcript has 3 exons. NCBI's taxonomy places the organism in Eukaryota, Metazoa, Chordata, Testudines, Emydidae.